GGCAAUGUCUCAAGAAAUAUAUAGCUGAAGCUGACUUGGAACUAUACAUAGCCUAGCUGAUGCUAUUAUAACCUUUCUAGUGUUAAGAUUAUAGGCAUAUGCCACCAAGCCUGAAGUUUUGCCUUUCUUACACUGAAGUUUUCAAAGAUAAAACAUGUAUAACCUCUGUCUAGAAACUUGCUAGGAAUAGUGGUACAUAACUUUAAUUCCAGCUCUUGGGAGAUAGAGACAGGAAGAUCUCUGUGAGCUCAAAGCCAGCCUGGUCUAUAUAGUGAAUUCUAGGACAGCCAUAUUUACAUAGUGAGACCCUGUCUUGAAUAAAGAAAGCAAGAAAGCAAGCAAGGAAGGAAGGAAAAAAGGAAGGAAGGAAAGGGAACGAGUGAAUCUAUUUCUAACGAGAGUGCUAUUCUAUUAAUGUCUUAAGGCAUUAAUAAAUAAAUAACCAGCCUGAAGACAAAAUUAUCCUCCAGAAGUGAUCUUCAAAGUGUAAGCUCAGAACAUUAAUUGGAUCAUUGGAAAUCUACUAUGACUGAUCAAAUGGAUAGGCUCUGGCAUGAAAUAUCUUUUGUUUCUCUUUCAAAAAAUUCAACAUACAUGAUUAGCUUGUUCUACAUUAUGUUUUGUGAAUAGGUGGUAUGCAAACAAAAGAUAGUUGCCACCUAUAUUUUACAAAAACACCUAUCACUUAGACAUGUGCAGCCAGAGAGUUGGAUGGCUCUGGAAAAGGUGGUCUUAAACAGGAGGAACACCUGAGCAGGACAGAUCUGCCAAAAUGGAUGGCUCAUAAAAGCGGCUCUUGUGAGCACAUAGGCAUUCCCCUAACCUGGCCUUCUGCACAGAAAUUCACUGAACUCAGUUCGGUUCCCCCUGUAUUUAAGAGAGUCUAUUGCCACCCAGAUGGAUUGCAUAGCUUUCUGGGUUUUUCUGAGUGUGUUGUGUUUCUCUGGACUGGCAUUCAAAGUUAAAGGCUGAAAUUCUUUUCCUUAGGUCUACAAAACACCAUAGUUGUAAUUAAUUUUAUAACAUUAAAUUCAAUGGCCAUGUGAUUUACAGGGAAUGAACAAGUGUUCUUCAAAAGGGCUUGGUUGUACAGAAUUUCAAUGCGUCAAAUGAUGUAAUUUUCUAUAAUAUUUAGUGUGCCAUUUUUAGUUCAGUGUUUGGAUAAUAGGAGACUUCGAAGAAAAAGAUAAAGAGAGGCUGAUUUGCCUGGUAGUACUUCUGUUCUUUUGUUCUUUUAGGAUCUAAAAUUAACCGACAUCUGCAGUGUCAACAAGGACUCCAUAUGGCAUUCAAGUUCGUACUUUUCCUAAAUAAUGCAUCUGAGGCGAUGUAAUCGGAGAGGAAUUCUGAGUUCUCCACAGUGCUGGACCCAGAAGCCCAGUUCCUUGCUGAUUGCUGACCAGAGGUUGCCUCAAUUUCCUGUCCUGUGCCACAUUGGUCUCUCUCCGGCUCUGACUAUAUUGCAGCUGGCGUCUCUCUAAGCAAGUUUGGAAGAGAAAGCCACGACAGCGUGAAUAGAAGUUCCUGCAAAUUGAUGAGACUAAGGCUUGAUCCCGUGGCAUUACCACAGUGGCGGUACACCAAGACGCAGGACGAGCAAGUGUGUAGUAUACAGAAGGAGGCAGUGGACACAGCUCUUUGAGAGGGAUGAGUCCGAUGUCUGUUCGACCUCAACCAUAGAGCUCAAAAUGUUAGAUGAGGUGACUACUGUGUGUACAAGGCAUCUUCAUUCUUCAACAAGUCCACUUUUGGAGGUACUUAGACGUAUAAAAUUUGAAACCUCUACUAUGGAGCUUUUCAAGAGGUGAGCAAUAUCGUUCCACAAAAGCACAGUUCAAAGGGAACAGAAGAGAAAGUAGGAUGCUUCGGUACACCUGUGCCUGGGUUUACCUUGUAUUCAGCUAUUUGUUUAGAAAGGAGAUUUUCUUUUAAUAACUUCUCUCUUUCGAGAUCACCCCAACCUAUCUUGCCACUGGCUCACCAAAGUCUCUAAUAGUUAAGGAUGCCUUUCUUUGAAAUUUCCUAGCAUAUGUUGCUCUGUGGCUGUCUGUUUUCUGGUAAGACAGGCACUCCGCUUAUCAGGACCUGCUGCUUCAUAAGCCAAGAUUUAUUUGCUAGGAACAGGGACGGGUUCUGUCCUGUCCCACCAUGGCCACACAUAAGGCAGAAGAUCUUUCUGCUACCGCCAGACAAGGUUGCUUGGAGACGGUGCUGUUGACUGGCUGAAGCCAAUACUAUCCAGCAAGCAGUUUAGCAGCACCUCAGGCAAAUGGGUUUGCACUUCACAGUAGAGAAUUCCACAGCCAGAGGAGACACUGCGAAGAGGACAUCAUUUUUUCCAAGUGGCUCACUGAUCUGUUCCUUCUCUUCACCCUGUCUUAUACCUCCCUGUACUAUAUUUCUGCCUCAUGCUUAUUUUCUAUAACCUCGUCAGCAAGCCCUCAACAGGGAAGAAAAUCUUCCACAU
Meriones unguiculatus (Mongolian gerbil) is the source of this 2467-nucleotide long non-coding RNA. RefSeq lists it as uncharacterized. NCBI's taxonomy places the organism in Eukaryota, Metazoa, Chordata, Mammalia, Rodentia, Muridae. The transcript has 5 exons. The record is from RefSeq and is a predicted model, not a curated record.